CCCUUAGAUGUUCUGGGCCGCACACGCGCUACACUGAAGGAGGCAGCGUGUACUCCUGGAUCGAAAGAUUUGGGCAACCCGCGAAUCUCCUUCGUGCUAGGGAUUGAGGUUUGCAAUUAUCCUUCAUGAACGAGGAAUUCCCAGUAAGUGCAAGUCAUAAGCUUGCGCUGACUACGUCCCUGCCCUUUGUACACACCGCCCGUCGCUACUACCGAUUGAAUGAUUUAGUGAGGACUUCGGACUGGGACCGAUGCGGCUUUCGGGCUGCGUCGGUAUUCUGGAAAGAUGUCCAAACUGUAUCAUUUAGAGGAAGUAAAANUCGUAACA
RNAcentral lists this ribosomal RNA (327 nucleotides) under uncultured eukaryote. RNAcentral's name for it is "partial 18S ribosomal RNA". It matches the Rfam family "Eukaryotic small subunit ribosomal RNA", at positions 1470 to 1796 of the family's 1831-position model. The record is from RNAcentral.